UCUGAGCCUUCCAGCAGUACACCCAGCAACGUGACCAAGAUCUGUCAUGGGUGGGUUCAUUCUCUGGCAUCCUCAUGCUCUAAUAAGUCUUCAGUCUCUAAACUCUGUCAUUUAUGAAGAGGGCAGCAUCAGGUCUCAAACAGCAGAUUGAAGGCAGCUGUUUGAUGUGACACAGGUGUUCAGAAGGUCAGAAUAACUUCCAGGGAGAUGGCUUGCUGGACAGAGGGUAGGCGAUGUGAUCAAAGUUGUUUAACUGUUCACCUGAAAGGAAUAAGAAUAUCUGGAUUAAUGCCAGUGAAUGCCAGAGCAUGGGAGGAUCUGAGUUCCCAGAAAGCAUCUUUGAAGUGAGCGCAUUGGUUUGUUAUAA
Molecule: long non-coding RNA, 367 nt
Organism: Mauremys reevesii (Reeves's turtle)
Lineage: Eukaryota; Metazoa; Chordata; Testudines; Geoemydidae
Exons: 3
Source: RefSeq, a predicted model, not a curated record